This 238-nucleotide ribosomal RNA is filed under the name Escherichia coli. RNAcentral describes it as "partial 16S ribosomal RNA". It matches the Rfam family "Bacterial small subunit ribosomal RNA", at positions 1 to 235 of the family's 1533-position model. The record is from RNAcentral. Lineage: Bacteria; Pseudomonadati; Pseudomonadota; Gammaproteobacteria; Enterobacterales; Enterobacteriaceae.
AAAUUGAAGAGUUUGAUCAUGGCUCAGAUUGAACGCUGGCGGCAGGCCUAACACAUGCAAGUCGAACGGUAACAGGAAACAGCUUGCUGUUUCGCUGACGAGUGGCGGACGGGUGAGUAAUGUCUGGGAAACUGCCUGAUGGAGGGGGAUAACUACUGGAAACGGUAGCUAAUACCGCAUAACGUCGCAAGACCAAAGAGGGGGACCCUCGGGCCUCUUGCCAUCGGAUGUGCCCAGA